GCCCCCGUGGGGUAGCGGACAUCCUUGAGGCCUUCGGAGCCUCAGACCCGGGUUCGAUUCCCGGCGGGGGCG
RNAcentral lists this transfer RNA (72 nucleotides) under Archaeoglobus fulgidus. RNAcentral's name for it is "tRNA-Arg". It matches the Rfam family "tRNA". Rfam says of the family: Transfer RNA (tRNA) molecules are approximately 80 nucleotides in length. Their secondary structure includes four short double-helical elements and three loops (D, anti-codon, and T loops). Further hydrogen bonds mediate the characteristic L-shaped molecular structure. tRNAs have two regions of fundamental functional importance: the anti-codon, which is responsible for specific mRNA codon recognition, and the 3' end, to which the tRNAs corresponding amino acid is attached (by aminoacyl-tRNA synthetases). tRNAs cope with the degeneracy of the genetic code in two manners: having more than one tRNA (with a specific anti-codon) for a particular amino acid; and 'wobble' base-pairing, i.e. permitting non-standard base-pairing at the 3rd anti-codon position. The record is from RNAcentral. Lineage: Archaea; Methanobacteriati; Methanobacteriota; Archaeoglobi; Archaeoglobales; Archaeoglobaceae.